AGAACGAACGCUGGCGGCAUGCCUAAUACAUGCAAGUCGAACGAACUCUUCGGAGUUAGUGGCGCACGGGUGCGUAACGCGUGGGAAUCUGCCCUUGGGUUCGGAAUAACAGUUGGAAACGACUGCUAAUACCGGAUGAUGACGAAAGUCCAAAGAUUUAUCGCCCAGGGAUGAGCCCGCGUAGGAUUAGCUAGUUGGUGAGGUAAAGGCUCACCAAGGCGACGAUCCUUAGCUGGUCUGAGAGGAUGAUCAGCCACACUGGGACUGAGACACGGCCCAGACUCCUACGGGAGGCAGCAGUAGGGAAUAUUGGACAAUGGGCGAAAGCCUGAUCCAGCAAUGCCGCGUGAGUGAUGAA
RNAcentral lists this ribosomal RNA (358 nucleotides) under uncultured soil bacterium. Its description in RNAcentral is "bacterial SSU rRNA". It matches the Rfam family "Bacterial small subunit ribosomal RNA", at positions 26 to 412 of the family's 1533-position model. The record is from RNAcentral.